RNAcentral lists this ribosomal RNA (393 nucleotides) under Triticum aestivum (bread wheat). RNAcentral's name for it is "partial small subunit ribosomal RNA". Lineage: Eukaryota; Viridiplantae; Streptophyta; Magnoliopsida; Poales; Poaceae. The record is from RNAcentral.
UUUGGGUUAUUUCUAUUGUUUGUCUUGGAUCAAAAUAGAAAAGUGGUAUCAAUUUUUGAUCCGAUACCAAUACCUACUUUCGGAAAGAAUGUACUUAAAACCGUGGCCGACAAUCUAAACCUUGCGCUUGAAGUUGCAAACACUGCAUUCAACGAUGAUAUCUCUAAAUGGGAAUGCAUAGUUCCUGAUGCUCCAACAAACUCACACUGUGCCUUGUCUGGUUAUUUGGUUUUUAAUUACAUGCACUCAUUGUGCGAUGGAAAGCUAUAUUUUCCCAUACCCCAGGAUGGUUUUCAACUGAGGAAGCAAUUUUUGGUGCAUAUUUUAAAGUACGAAGGGAAUGAAGCUCAAAACAGUAUCCCAUACAUUGAACGAAGCAUCAUUGAUCGCAUC